Long non-coding RNA from Malurus melanocephalus (red-backed fairy wren), 895 nucleotides. RefSeq lists it as uncharacterized. The record is from RefSeq and is a predicted model, not a curated record. Lineage: Eukaryota; Metazoa; Chordata; Aves; Passeriformes; Maluridae. The transcript is spliced from 5 exons.
CUUUCUGGGCAUCCUUGUUCUGUGUUGAAAAAAAUAAAUAAUACUAUUAACAUAUUUUAUAAAAAAAGUAGCCCAUCUUUGCUUUUUUCCCCCCACUUAUUUCUUUCUCAGAGAAGAAAACUAACCUUUUCAUGUCCAACUGUGUAUUUACAGGUGAUACAUGUUKUGGUUUUGGAGUUCUGGCAUUGCCAGGACAAGAGGUUUAGGGUUAUGAACAGCUUUAAGGUUCAGCUCUUUAGCAACGAAUUUCUCUGCAAAGGUGCUGUUGCAGUAUCUUUAAACAAACUAAACUGUUCUCGCCUGAUGCUGGGAUUCGGGAUUAUCUGAACGCUGGGAGAACACUGAGCUGCAUUUUGCAAUAGACUCCUUGUUACAGCAGUGCUUAAGAUUGGCACAUACUUCAAACAUUGAAGCCAGGAGAAAACAAGCAUCCUUCUUUCCUGAAAGAGGUGUGGGAAUGUGCCUGCUGCAGAAGAUUCCCUCACAUCAAGGAGAAAGGAAAAAUGACAGUGGAAAAGGGAAGGAAAUGUUUUGGUUCUUCAAGGAAGAAGCCACUUGCAUCAUUAAGGGAUGUGCUUGAUUAGUUUCUCUCUGGACUAAAGGCCCAGCCAUGGGACAAGGCAGUAUUUACACAAAUCACAGGAGACACAUUAGAGCAGGAAAUACAAGGGUAGCACGACUGUGAUGAAAACCUUUAGGGGUGCUGUUAUACGGUGAAACACCAGCAGAACUCAGCUCAACGCAUCGCUCUUUGCUCAGCUGCUGUGUCCUCGCUGGCUCCCGGGAGCAUCUUCCCCCAGGAGAGGGCAGUGGUGCCCGCACACGCUCCCCGCUCCCCGCUCYCCUCCCAGCGGCGGCGGAGCAUCCGCUCCCUCGGGUGUUCCGCGGGGAACUC